GUCUUUCUCUCUCUCUCUUUCCCCUGCCCCAUAUUGGUUGCUGACGUUGUUGUGAGUGUGCUAGCUACAAUCUGCCUGCAUCUGCAAACAUGUUGGGACGUUAUCUAUCGCUAUCAUCGGCAAAAGAGAAUGCAGUGUUCCAGCUACCGUUACGUAUCUGUAUUUCAACUUUAUUCCAGGUACAUCCGAUGGAAUUCGCGAAACUUUAUUCCAGACACUAAUGAUUUGGCCUCGACAGUCUUCUGCGGCAAUGACUUCCACAGAUUCACUAACUUCUGGCUGAAGAAAUUCCUCUAAAGGGAUGUCAAAGGGUAUCUUAGUUGACAUUACCAAGGGAGUUCAAUAUCUCUUUGAAGAACUAUUUUUUCAAGUGUCCAGUGGGUGUUCAAAGAACACUGCCAAAAAGACUGCAGAUGCUGAACCAAGUGCACAUUUCAUGGCUACGGUUGAUACCCUUGCUUCAUAACAAAACAUCACCGGGUUUGGAGCAAAGCUGACUUGAAGUCUAACACUAUUGGCCAGGCUUUUCCUUAGCAUGUCUGAACAUUGGCAGACCCUACUGAAAACAAAUGCUGGAGAUCAGUGGGUCAGACAGCAGCUGUGGAGAGAGAGCAAGCUAAUGUUUUGAGUCUAGAUGAUUCUUCAUCAGACUCUAUCUAGAGACUCCAUUGCAACGGCCUCAGUCUAGCCAGAUCAUUGCAGAGACCCACAAGUCGAGAGUGUGGUGCUGGAAAAGCACAGCAGGCUAGGCAACAUCCAAGGAGCAGGAGAAUCUAUGUUUUGGGCAUACAUCCUUCAUCAGAGACGCACAAGUGCAUGCAAGAGCCUUGGAAAACUCAGUGUAAAAUCAUUAUUUCAUGUUGUACAUGCUUUUUCUAUUUUAGCAUUCUGCACCAAGUGCAGAAUUUUAAGAUAAAAAGGUAUUCGAUCUAGUUAAUAUAAAACAACAUAUGGUUUAAAAAUUCAUCUUAACAGAUAAAUCAAAACCAGCGAAUGAAUUAAUAAAACUGUUAAAAGUUG
Molecule: non-coding RNA, 1020 nt
Organism: Chiloscyllium plagiosum (whitespotted bambooshark)
Lineage: Eukaryota; Metazoa; Chordata; Chondrichthyes; Orectolobiformes; Hemiscylliidae
Source: RefSeq, a predicted model, not a curated record